RNAcentral lists this ribosomal RNA (497 nucleotides) under uncultured bacterium. RNAcentral's name for it is "partial 16S ribosomal RNA". It matches the Rfam family "Bacterial small subunit ribosomal RNA", at positions 28 to 507 of the family's 1533-position model. The record is from RNAcentral.
GAUGAACGCUGGCGGCGUGCUUAAUACAUGCAAGUCGAGCGAACGGACGUGAAGCCUGUUUCUCUGAUGUUAGUGGCGCACGGGAGCGUGACCCGUGGAUAACCAACCUAUAAGACUGGGACAACUACGGCAAACCGGAGCUAAUACCGGAUAAUAUUAUGAACCCCAUGGUUCAAAAGUAACAGAUGGUCUUGUUGUCACUUCUAGAUGUUACCGCGCCGCAUUAGCUUGUUGGUAAGGUAACGGUUUUCCAAGGCAAGGAUGCAUAGCCGACCAAGGAGAGUGACAGUCCACACUGGAAGUGGAACACGGUCCAGACUGCUACGGGGGGCAGCAGUAGGGAAUCUUGCGCAAAGGGCGAGGGCCUGACGGAGCAACGCGGCAAGGGUGAAGGGAGUCUUCGGGUCGGAAGACUGUGUUAUUAGGGAAGAACAUAUGUGUAAGUAGCAGUACACGUCUUGACGGUACCUAGUCAGUAAGCCACGGCUAACUACGUG